Unclassified non-coding RNA from Cervus hanglu yarkandensis (Yarkand deer), 291 nucleotides. It matches the Rfam family "Metazoan signal recognition particle RNA". Rfam says of the family: The signal recognition particle (SRP) is a universally conserved ribonucleoprotein. It is involved in the co-translational targeting of proteins to membranes. The record is from Ensembl. NCBI's taxonomy places the organism in Eukaryota, Metazoa, Chordata, Mammalia, Artiodactyla, Cervidae.
GCCGGGCGCGGUGGCGUGCGCCUGUAAUCCCAGCUACUCGGGAGGCUGAGGCUGGAGGAUCGGUGAGCUCAGGAGUUCUGGGCUGCAGUGCACUAUGCCGAUUGGGUGUCCGCACUAAGUUCAGCAUCAAUAUGGUGACCUCCCGGGAGCGGGGGACCACCAGGUUGCCUAAGGAGGGGUGAACCGGCCCAGAUCGGAAAUGGAGCAGGUCAAAAACUCCCGUGCUGAUCAGUAGAAAGGGUAUAGGGUCAAAUGAAGUGCUUUUCCUAGAGGUGGAAGGGAAUUGUCUAU